RNA transcript from Physcomitrium patens, 2091 nucleotides. It is a transcript of the gene named DNA topoisomerase 6 subunit A, with no coding region annotated. Lineage: Eukaryota; Viridiplantae; Streptophyta; Bryopsida; Funariales; Funariaceae. The record is from RefSeq and is a predicted model, not a curated record.
UUUGCACCCAUCUCACAUUUCUGUCUGUUGGAGUGGUCACAUUUGUUCGUGUCUUUUUACUGUUGCAUUUUUUCGUUAAUUUGAUCCCGUGUUAUUCCAGCGUUGACCAUGGCCGUGUUCACAAACCUAGCACCACUUACGUAUCAGGGCUUUGCUAGUUUCAGGAGAAAAUUUGUGACUUUUUGUGCUGUUGUUCCCAUACCAUUCAAAUUAAAUGCGAUUCACCCUGCCGAAUUUUGUUUGAGAUUUUGAUCACCCUCAGUUCAAGGUGUCGAAUUAUACUUUAACAUGUUCUAGUUCAUGCGUUUAGUGCGUGCUAAAUAGAGAGACUAAUGGUGAAGUAGGAAUGCCGAUCUAUUUUCAGUUUUUGCAGUUUGGCUGCGACCUGAAGUUCUAUGUUUUCAAAGUUCCUCUCUGAAUUUUCAGGCGGUUGCUCUAGGUCUUGCAGUCAACCCUGGACGUUAUUGUGCUUCGAAGCGAAGUCUAUCCUGGUGCCUAGAAAUUGAGUAGUUUCCUCCCUGAGGGAAUGUCGGACAAGCGCAAAGCAGUUCGGGAGGAGGAAGUCGACGAUGAUAUCCUGGGAAUGUCAAGUGAUGGUCCGAGAAAGCAAACGCAGGCUGCACUUGCUUUCAAGAAGAAGCUCAAGUCUGACCCCGAUAUUCUUAAAAUCGUGACCAAAUUUGCCGAGGCUGCGAAGGAGGCAGACGUAGAAACACGCACUCUUGCAGACCUAAAUCUUGCUAAUAGUUGCAAGGAGGUAGUCGAGCUCAACACUCGAAGUGUUGUACUUGAGGUUGAAAAGAGCAUCUUGGCGAUCGCUAAGUCUAUUCUUAGUGGCAAUGGCUUCGGGUAUCUGAUUCCUUCACGAUCAAGUGCGAAUCAGCUGUAUGUGCCCGAGUUGGAUCGCAUUGUGCUUAAGGACAAGGCCUCAUUCCGUCAAUUUGCCAAUAUUGCGAGCGUUCGAAAGACGGCCAUCACCACUCGAAUUUUACAGCUUGUCCAUCAGCUCUGUACGAAACAAAUCCAUGUUACGAAGCGUGAUCUGUUCUAUACUGACGUGAAGCUAUUCCAGGAGCAAGGGCAGAGUGAUACUAUUCUCGAUGAUGUCUCAUGCAUGUUGGGAUGCACUAGGUCAAGUCUUAACGUUGUCGCCUCUGAGAAAGGAGUUGUAGUGGGACGGCUAAUAUUUAUCGAAGAUGGGGAUCGAAUUGACUGCACCAAGAUGGGAGUAGGUGGAAAGGCAAUUCCUCCUAACAUAGACAAGGUUCAAGGCAUGGAGAGUGAUGCUCUCUUUAUUCUUCUUGUAGAGAAGGAUGCUGCCUUCAUGCGUUUGGCAGAAGAUCGAUUUUACAACCGUUUCCCUUGUGUUAUACUCACUGCAAAAGGGCAACCGGAUGUGGCAACACGGCUGUUUUUGAAGAAAAUGAAGACCGAUUUGAAACUCCCAGUACUGGGUUUGGUUGAUAGUGAUCCUUAUGGUCUCAAAAUUCUCUCGGUUUACAUGUCUGGAUCCAAAAAUAUGUCUUAUGACAGCUCCAAUUUGACUACUCCUGACAUCAAGUGGCUCGGCGUCCGGCCCAGUGACUUGAACAAGUACAAGAUUCCCGAGCAGUGUCGUUUGCCCAUGUCAGACCAGGAUAUAAAAACCGGGAAGGAUAUGCUUGAAGAAGAUUUUAUCAAGAAGGAUAAGAACUGGGUUAAGGAGUUGGAACUGAUGGUUAAGACCAAGGAGAAGGCGGAAAUUCAAGCCCUUAGUUCCUUCGGAUUUCAGUAUCUCUCCGAGGUGUACCUGCCUCUCAAGCUACAGCAAGAAGACUGGAUUUAGUGGUGCACAACAUAGGUCUAGCUUCCCAUAUUCGUGCCUGCAACGGAUGCAGGUCCUUAUCUACUGUUCAUCUGGUAUGUUCACUACUAUGCAGCAAAGACUGGAGUCUACAGGCGAUGCAGUUGUAUUUUCGUUGCAACCAUCGAAGGAUACUGUAUCAAAGUGGGGCAACUCAUUUGCCUUCUGCUUGCCGCCAGCCUGGAAGAAGUGCAUAAGACUUCUAUAUGCAUGAUCAUAUCUGGAAAUAAAAGUGCAUUAAAUUUGUU